GGUUAAGCGACUAAGCGUACACGGUGGAUGCCCUGGCAGUCAGAGGCGAUGAAGGACGUGCUAAUCUGCGAAAAGCGCCGGCGAGGUGAUAUGAACCUUUGACCCGUCGAUGUCCGAAUGGGGAAACCCAGUGUGUUCCGACACACUAUCGUUAACUGAAUACAUAGGUUAACGAGGCGAACCGGGGGAACUGAAACAUCUAAGUACCCCGAGGAAAAGAAAUCAACCGAGAUUCCCCCAGUAGCGGCGAGCGAACGGGGAGCAGCCCGGAGUCUGAAUCAGCUUGUGUGUUAGUGGAACGGUCUGGAAAGUCCGACGGUACAGGGUGAUAGUCCCGUACACGAAAAUACACUUGCUGUGAACUCGAAGAGUAGGGCGGGACACGUGGUAUCCUGUCUGAAUAUGGGGGGACCAUCCUCCAAGGCUAAAUACUCCUGACUGACCGAUAGUGAACCAGUACCGUGAGGGAAAGGCGAAAAGAACCCCGGCGAGGGGAGUGAAAAAGAACCUGAAACCGUGUACGUACAAGCAGUGGGAGCACCUUCGGGUGUGACUGCGUACCUUUUGUAUAAUGGGUCAGCGACUUAUAUUCUGUAGCAAGGUUAACCGUAUAGGGGAGCCGAAGGGAAACCGAGUCUUAACUGGGCGUUAAGUUGCAGGGUAUAGACCCGAAACCCGGUGAUCUAGCCAUGGGCAGGUUGAAGGUUGGGUAACACUAACUGGAGGACCGAACCGACUAAUGUUGAAAAAUUAGCGGAUGACCUGUGGCUGGGGGUGAAAGGCCAAUCAAACCGGGAGAUAGCUGGUUCUCCCCGAAAGCUAUUUAGGUAGCGCCUCGUGAACUCAUCUUCGGGGGUAGAGCACUGUUUCGGCUAGGGGGCCAUCCCGGCUUACCAACCCGAUGCAAACUACGAAUACCGAAGAAUGUUAUCACGGGAGACACACGGCGGGUGCUAACGUCCGUCGUGAAGAGGGAAACAACCCAGACCGCCAGCUAAGGUCCCAAAGUCAUGGUUAAGUGGGAAACGAUGUGGGAAGGCACAGACAGCCAGGAUGUUGGCUUAGAAGCAGCCAUCAUUUAAAGAAAGCGUAAUAGCUCACUGGUCGAGUCGGCCUGCGCGGAAGAUGUAACGGGGCUAAACCAUGCACCGAAGCUGCGGCAGCGACACUAUGUGUUGUUGGGUAGGGGAGCGUUCUGUAAGCCGUUGAAGGUGUGCUGUGAGGCAUGCUGGAGGUAUCAGAAGUGCGAAUGCUGACAUAAGUAACGAUAAAGCGGGUGAAAAGCCCGCUCGCCGGAAGACCAAGGGUUCCUGUCCAACGUUAAUCGGGGCAGGGUGAGUCGACCCCUAAGGCGAGGCCGAAAGGCGUAGUCGAUGGGAAACAGGUUAAUAUUCCUGUACUUGGUGUUACUGCGAAGGGGGGACGGAGAAGGCUAUGUCAGCCGGGCGACGGUUGUCCCGGUUUAAGCAUGUAGGCGGAGGUUCCAGGUAAAUCCGGUACCUUAUUAACGCUGAGGUGUGAUGACGAGGCACUACGGUGCUGAAGUGAUAAAUGCCCUGCUUCCAGGAAAAGCCUCUAAGCAUCAGGUAACACGAAAUCGUACCCCAAACCGACACAGGUGGUCAGGUAGAGAAUACCAAGGCGCUUGAGAGAACUCGGGUGAAGGAACUAGGCAAAAUGGUGCCGUAACUUCGGGAGAAGGCACGCUGAUAUGUAGGUGAAGCCCCUGCGGGCGGAGCUGAAAUCAGUCGAAGAUACCAGCUGGCUGCAACUGUUUAUUAAAAACACAGCACUGUGCAAACACGAAAGUGGACGUAUACGGUGUGACGCCUGCCCGGUGCCGGAAGGUUAAUUGAUGGGGUUAGCGGCAACGCGAAGCUCUUGAUCGAAGCCCCGGUAAACGGCGGCCGUAACUAUAACGGUCCUAAGGUAGCGAAAUUCCUUGUCGGGUAAGUUCCGACCUGCACGAAUGGCGUAAUGAUGGCCAGGCUGUCUCCACCCGAGACUCAGUGAAAUUGAACUCGCUGUGAAGAUGCAGUGUACCCGCGGCAAGACGGAAAGACCCCGUGAACCUUUACUAUAGCUUGACACUGAACACUGGUCCUUGAUGUGUAGGAUAGGUGGGAGGCUUUGAAGCGUGGACGCCAGUCUGCGUGGAGCCGUCCUUGAAAUACCACCCUUUAAUGGCUGGUGUUCUAACGUAGACCCGUGAUCCGGGUUGCGGACAGUGUCUGGUGGGUAGUUUGACUGGGGCGGUCUCCUCCCAAAGAGUAACGGAGGAGCACGAAGGUUGGCUAAUCCUGGUCGGACAUCAGGAGGUUAGUGCAAUGGCAUAAGCCAGCUUGACUGCGAGCGUGACGGCGCGAGCAGGUGCGAAAGCAGGUCAUAGUGAUCCGGUGGUUCUGAAUGGAAGGGCCAUCGCUCAACGGAUAAAAGGUACUCCGGGGAUAACAGGCUGAUACCGCCCAAGAGUUCAUAUCGACGGCGGUGUUUGGCACCUCGAUGUCGGCUCAUCACAUCCUGGGGCUGAAGUAGGUCCCAAGGGUAUGGCUGUUCGCCAUUUAAAGUGGUACGCGAGCUGGGUUUAGAACGUCGUGAGACAGUUCGGUCCCUAUCUGCCGUGGGCGCUGGAGAAUUGAGGGGGGCUGCUCCUAGUACGAGAGGACCGGAGUGGACGCAUCACUGGUGUUCGGGUUGUCAUGCCAAUGGCACUGCCCGGUAGCUAAAUGCGGAAGAGAUAAGUGCUGAAAGCAUCUAAGCACGAAACUUGCCCCGAGAUGAGUUCUCCCUGAGACUUUAAGUCUCCUGAAGGAACGUUGAAGACGACGACGUUGAUAGGUCGGGUGUGUAAGCGCAGCGAUGCGUUGAGCUAACCGAUACUAAUGAACCGUGAGGCUUAACCUU
This 2904-nucleotide ribosomal RNA is filed under the name Enterobacter hormaechei. Its description in RNAcentral is "23S ribosomal RNA". It matches the Rfam family "Bacterial large subunit ribosomal RNA". Lineage: Bacteria; Pseudomonadati; Pseudomonadota; Gammaproteobacteria; Enterobacterales; Enterobacteriaceae. RNAcentral also lists the same sequence under 1 other name. The record is from RNAcentral.